Molecule: ribosomal RNA, 2485 nt
Filed under: soil metagenome
Description: bacterial LSU rRNA
Rfam family: Bacterial large subunit ribosomal RNA
Source: RNAcentral
AGUGCAUGUGGUGGAUGCCUUGGCAGUCAGAGGCGAUGAAAGACGUGAUAGCCUGCGAAAAGCUCCGGGGAGGCGGCAAAUAUCCUUUGAUCCGGAGAUUUCUGAAUGGGGGAACCCACCCGCUAUAAGGCGGGUAUCAUAAGCUGAAUACAUAGGCUUAUGAAGCGAACGAGGGGAAGUGAAACAUCUCAGUACCCUUAGGAAAAGAAAUCAAUUGAGAUUCCCUUAGUAGCGGCGAGCGAACGGGGAGCAGCCCAUUAAGUUAUGUGUGUUCUAGUGGAACGCUCUGGGAAGUGCGAACGUAGAGGGUGAUAUUCCCGUACACGAAAGGGCACACAUAAUGAUGACGAGUAGGGCGAGGCACGUGAAACCUUGUCUGAAUAUGGGGGGACCAUCCUCCAAGGCUAAAUACUCCUGACUGACCGAUAGUGAACCAGUACCGUGAGGGAAAGGCGAAAAGAACCCCUGUGAGGGGAGUGAAAUAGAUCCUGAAACCGCAUGCAUACAAGCAGUGGGAGCACCUUCGUGGUGUGACUGCGUACCUUUUGUAUAAUGGGUCAGCGACUUAUAUUCAGUAGCAAGGUUAACCGCAUAGGGGAGCCGUAGAGAAAUCGAGUCUUAAUAGGGCGUUUAGUUGCUGGGUAUAGACCCGAACCCAGGCGAUCUAUCCAUGAGCAGGUUGAAGGUUGGGUAACACUAACUGGAGGACCGAACCCACUGUCGUUGAAAAGCCAGGGGAUGACUUGUGGAUAGGGGUGAAAGGCUAAUCAAGCCUGGUGAUAGCUGGUUCUCCCCGAAAGCUAUUUAGGUAGCGCCUCGGACGAAUACCAUUGGGGGUAGAGCACUGUUUCGGCUAGGGGGUCAUCCCGACUUACCAAACCGAUGCAAACUCCGAAUACCAAUGAGUACUAUCCGGGAGACAGACUGCGGGUGCUAACGUCCGUAGUCAAGAGGAAAACAAUCCAGACCGCCAGCUAAGGCCCCAAAAUCAUAGUUAAGUGGGAAACGAUGUGGGAAGGCAUAGACAGCUAGGAGGUUGGCUUAGAAGCAGCCACCCUUUAAAGAAAGCGUAAUAGCUCACUAGUCGAGUCGGCCUGCGCGGAAGAUGUAACGGGGCUAAAACUAUGUGCCGAAGCUGCGGAUGUAUACUUUGUAUACGUGGUAGGGGAGCGUUCUGUAAGCCGAUGAAGGUGUAUUGAGAAGUAUGCUGGAGGUAUCAGAAGUGCGAAUGCUGACGUGAGUAACGACAAAACGGGUGAAAAACCCGUUCGCUGAAAGACCAAGGGUUCCAGUCCAACGUUAAUCGGGGCUGGGUGAGUCGACCCCUAAGGCGAGGCCGAGAGGCGUAGUCGAUGGGAAAUUGGUUAAUAUUCCAAUACUUCUGUGUAAUGCGAUGAGAGGACGGAGAAGGUUAAGUCAGCCUGGCGUUGGUUGUCCAGGUGGAAGGCAGUAGGCAUGCAUCUUAGGCAAAUCCGGGGUGCUCUAUGCUGAGAGCUGAUAGCAAGCUGUACUUGUACAGUGAAGUGGCUGAUACCAUGCUUCCAGGAAAAGUCUCUAAGCUUCAGUUACACAGGAAUCGUACCCGAAACCGACACAGGUGGUCAGGUCGAGUAGACCAAAGCGCUUGAGAGAACUCUGCUGAAGGAACUAGGCAAAAUGGUACCGUAACUUCGGGAGAAGGUACGCUGCUGACGGUGAUGGGACUUGCUCCCUGAGCUGUUGGCAGCCACAGAAACCAGGCCGCUGCAACUGUUUAUUAAAAACAUAGCACUCUGCAAACACGAAAGUGGACGUAUAGGGUGUGAUGCCUGCCCGGUGCUGGAAGGUUAAUUGAUGGGGUUAGCGUAAGCGAAGCUCUUGAUCGAAGCCCCAGUAAACGGCGGCCGUAACUAUAACGGUCCUAAGGUAGCGAAAUUCCUUGUCGGGUAAGUUCCGACCUGCACGAAUGGCAUAAUGAUGGCGGCGCUGUCUCCAGCAGAGGCUCAGUGAAAUCGAAAUCGCUGUGAAGAUGCAGUGUACCCGCGGCUAGACGGAAAGACCCCGUGAACCUUUACUGCAGCUUGACAUUGAACUUUGACCUUACUUGUGUAGGAUAGGUGGGAGGCUUUGAAGUUAGAACGCUAGUUCUAAUGGAGCCGUCCUUGAAAUACCACCCUGGUAAUGUUGAGGUUCUAACUCUGCCCCGUAAUCCGGGGCGAGGACCAUGUCUGGUGGGUAGUUUGACUGGGGCGGUCUCCUCCUAAAGAGUAACGGAGGAGUACGAAGGUGCGCUCAGCGUGGUCGGAAAUCACGCGUAGAGUAUAAAGGCAAAAGCGCGCUUAACUGCGAGACCCACAAGUCGAGCAGGUACGAAAGUAGGUCUUAGUGAUCCGGUGGUUCUGUAUGGAAGGGCCAUCGCUCAACGGAUAAAAGGUACUCUGGGGAUAACAGGCUGAUACCGCCCAAGAGUUCAUAUCGACGGCGGUGUUUGGCACCUCGAUGUCGG